CCUACGGGAGGCAGCAGUGGGGAAUCUUGCGCAAUGGGCGAAAGCCUGACGCAGCCAUGCCGCGUGAAUGAUGAAGGUCUUAGGAUUGUAAAAUUCUUUCACCGGGGACGAUAAUGACGGUACCCGGAGAAGAAGCCCCGGCUAACUUCGUGCCAGCAGCCGCGGUAAUACGAAGGGGGCUAGCGUUGCUCGGAAUUACUGGGCGUAAAGGGAGCGUAGGCGGAUAGUUUAGUCAGAGGUGAAAGCCCAGGGCUCAACCUUGGAAUUGCCUUUGAUACUGGCUAUCUUGAGUAUGGGAGAGGUAUGCGGAACUCCGAGUGUAGAGGUGAAAUUCGUAGAUAUUCGGAAGAACACCAGUGGCGAAGGCGGCAUACUGGCCCAUUACUGACGCUGAGGCUCGAAAGCGUGGGGAGCAAACAGGAUUAGAUACCCUGGUAGCCCACGCUGUAAACGAUGAGUGCUAGUUGUCGGCAUGCAUGCAUGUCGGUGACGCGAGCUACGACAUAAGACACUCCGCCGUCGGGAGGUACGGUCGCGAAGAAGUUAAAACUAACGAAAGAAAGUUAGACGGACGUGAGACGUGCCGAACGGACGACGACGAGGGAGGAGG
RNAcentral lists this ribosomal RNA (610 nucleotides) under uncultured bacterium. RNAcentral's name for it is "bacterial SSU rRNA". The stretch from base 1 to 518 matches the Rfam family "Bacterial small subunit ribosomal RNA", at positions 338 to 873 of the family's 1533-position model. The record is from RNAcentral.